UAAACUAAACUCACACCCAACCGCCUCAUCAUCAUCCUCUCCACUCUCUCUCCAUCGUUCUCCCUUUCAUCUUCCUCAUGGUUCUUCGCAGACUUAACACCACCAUCGGCCACCAACCGACCACUAUACCCUGGUGACCUCCCUUAUUUUAACAGCCGCAAGACUUGACCAGCUUAAUGAUCCUAAGGCUCAGACGAUUUCCACCACUACUCUCGGUUCACUCACACUCGGCGGCGACCCAGACAAAUAAUGCUUACCCGAGAACAAGAUUCAUAAGAAAAUAAGUAAGAAAAACUCUCUUUUAAUUACCCAUAUUCAUAUUGUAAACACAAAAAACACUAAGAAAUAUUAAGCAGUUGGUACCUAAAUUUGAAUUGCUUCCUCCUGAAAAGAAAAUGGAAUCCCUUUUUACAAAUGUCUUUGGGGUUUAAUACUCGAUUACAACAAUUUCAUUCGUAUCAAUUUUUCAAGGCUCAUCCCCCUGUUUUACAUUGAUUUUUUUUUUGCUAAUCGAUGCUCUCUCCUCUUACACUGCUUUUGGGUGGUUAAAUACCCAUUACAAAGGAAAUAAAGACAAACAAUAGUGGAGCAUGGGUGAGGCACAUGUUUCUGCAGGAAUCAAGGGAUUGUGGGGGUUGGUGUUGAGAAAAAUGUGAUGGAACAGGAACAGAAACCCGGUGGUUUCUAUAUUGCUUUCGAUGUUUUCUUUCAGAUUCAAGCUCUUUUUUAAGAACUCCAAUCUAGCAAAGCAUAUAUGUUGGUUCAUGGGAACAAGUUCAGAGUUCAAAAAGUAUUAUCGAAAGGAACCAGACUGCAACAACCAUAAAUACUAUUAUCUGUACAAGUUUUGAGUAUCUACAUCAAAAGAUAUUUAUCUACAAAAUACUGGGAAACAGAAAUUGUUGCUCACUUGAGUA
Long non-coding RNA from Hibiscus syriacus, 917 nucleotides. RefSeq lists it as uncharacterized. NCBI's taxonomy places the organism in Eukaryota, Viridiplantae, Streptophyta, Magnoliopsida, Malvales, Malvaceae. The record is from RefSeq and is a predicted model, not a curated record. The transcript has 3 exons.